This 326-nucleotide ribosomal RNA is filed under the name uncultured bacterium. RNAcentral's name for it is "bacterial SSU rRNA". It matches the Rfam family "Bacterial small subunit ribosomal RNA", at positions 29 to 346 of the family's 1533-position model. The record is from RNAcentral.
AACGAACGCUGGCGGCGCGCCUAAUACAUGCAAGUCGAGCGAGAAGACGUAGCAAUACGUUUGUAAAGCGGCGAACGGGUGAGGAAUACAUGGGUAACCUACCCUCGAGUGGGGAAUAACUAGCCGAAAGGUUAGCUAAUACCGCGUACGCUCCUUGGACUUCGGUUCAGGGAGGAAAGCGAUACCGUGGGUAUCGCGCUCUUGGAUGGGCUCAUGUCCUAUCAGCUUGUUGGUGAGGAACGGCUCACCAAGGCUUCGACGGGUAGCUGGUCUGAGAGGACAAUCAGCCACACGGGCACUGCGACACGGGCCAGACUCCUACGGGA